UACGGGGGGAGCAAGCGUUGUUCGGAAUUACUGGGCGUAAAGAGCUCGUAGGUGGUUUGUCGCGUUGUUCGUGAAAACUCACAACUCAAUUGUGGGCGUGCGGGCGAUACGGGCAGACUGGAGUACUGCAGGGGAGACUGGAAUUCCUGGUGUAGCGGUGGAAUGCGCAGAUAUCAGGAGGAACACCGGUGGCGAAGGCGGGUCUCUGGGCAGUAACUGACGCUGAGGAGCGAAAGCGUGGGGAGCGAACAGG
This 253-nucleotide ribosomal RNA is filed under the name uncultured bacterium. RNAcentral describes it as "partial 16S ribosomal RNA". It matches the Rfam family "Bacterial small subunit ribosomal RNA", at positions 524 to 776 of the family's 1533-position model. The record is from RNAcentral.